Molecule: ribosomal RNA, 253 nt
Filed under: uncultured bacterium
Lineage: Bacteria
Description: partial 16S ribosomal RNA
Rfam family: Bacterial small subunit ribosomal RNA
Source: RNAcentral
UACAGAGGGUGCAAGCGUUAAUCGGAAUUACUGGGCGUAAAGGGUGCGUAGGCGGUUAUAUAAGUUAGAUGUGAAAGCCUCAGGCUUAACCUGAUAAGAGCGUCUAAAACUGUAUAGCUAGAGUACUGUAGAGGUUAGUGGAAUUUCCAGUGUAGCGGUGAAAUGCGUAGAUAUUGGAAGGAACAUCAGUGGCGAAGGCGGCUAAUUGGGCAGAUACUGACGCUGAAGCACGAAAGCGUGGGGAGCAAACAGG